GCUGUAACGCGUGCAUGGUUUUCAUCUGUGUCUGAUAGCCGUGUCUGUCUGUGUUUUGCAUUCAGCUCUUGCUAUCCACUCAGACGUCAUGCAGCCAGAGAGCAAGUUGGGAUCAUAGUACUGGUGUAGUGUUGUCUCUUUGGACAUAUCCACCACUGGCCAGCCUCCAAAUUCCCACACACAG
Molecule: small nucleolar RNA, 184 nt
Organism: Kogia breviceps (pygmy sperm whale)
Lineage: Eukaryota; Metazoa; Chordata; Mammalia; Artiodactyla; Physeteridae
Product: small nucleolar RNA SNORA23
Exons: 1
Source: RefSeq, a predicted model, not a curated record